UCCCAGCAAUGGGGGAACCGGCGUAAGGGGCAGUAAGGCGUGGGUACCUACCCUGGGGUCCGGGAUAGCCGUCCGAGAGGGCGGGUAAUACCGGAUGAUCUCGGGAGAGCAAAGCUCCGGCGCCCUGGGAGGGGCCCACGUGAUAUUAGCUAGUUGGCGGGGUAACGGCCCACCAAGGCGGAGAUGUCUAGCGGGUGUGAGAGUACGACCCGCGCCACUCGCACUGAGACACUGGCGAGACACCUACGGGUGGCUGCAGUCGAGGAUCUUCGGCAAUGUGCGCAAGCACGACCGAGCGACGCCGCGUGGGCGACGAAGGCCUUCGGGUUGUAAAGCCCUGUCGAGGGGGAAAAAAGCCCGCAAGGGUGUGAUCUAUCCCUGGAGGAAGCUCGGGCUAAGUUCGUGCCAGCAGCCGCGGUAAGACGAACCGAGCGAACGUUGUUCGGAAUCACUGGGCUUAAAGGGCGCGUAGGCGGGCUGCCAAGUUUGGGGUGAAAUCCUCCGGCUCAACCGGGGAAGGGCCUCGAAUACUGGCGGUCUGGAGGGAGGUAGGGGCGUGCGGAACUGUANGUGGAGCGGUGAAAUGCGUUGAUAUCUACAGGAACUCCGGUGGCGAAGGCGGCACGCUGGACCUUUUCUGACGCUGAGGCGCGAAAGCCAGGGGAGCGAACGGGAUUAGAUACCCCGGUAGUCCUGGCCCUAAACGUUGAGAACUAGGUAGUAGGCCAGACAUGGGCUUACUGCCGGAGCAAAAGUGCUAAGUUCUCCGCCUGGGGAGUAUGGUCGCAAGGCUGAAACUC
Molecule: ribosomal RNA, 800 nt
Filed under: uncultured Planctomycetia bacterium
Lineage: Bacteria; Pseudomonadati; Planctomycetota; Planctomycetia
Description: bacterial SSU rRNA
Rfam family: Bacterial small subunit ribosomal RNA
Source: RNAcentral